GGAGGCGGUGGUCUGGUGACCGGUCCGGUCUUCAAAACCGGUGAGCGGCAGGAGCUGUCGCUCGCGGGUUCGAUUCCCGUCCGCCUCCGCCA
This 92-nucleotide transfer RNA is filed under the name Streptosporangiales bacterium. RNAcentral's name for it is "tRNA-Sec". It matches the Rfam family "Selenocysteine transfer RNA". Lineage: Bacteria; Bacillati; Actinomycetota; Actinomycetes; Streptosporangiales. RNAcentral also lists the same sequence under 1 other name. The record is from RNAcentral.